GGCCACCGCUAUUGGAAUUCGAUUAAGACAUGCGAGUCGAGAGGUAACUCGGCGGACCGCUCAGUAACACGCGGAUAACAUGCCCUAAGGUGGAGGAUAAUCUCGGGAAACUGAGAAUAAUACUCCAUAGAUCUAGAAUGCUGGAAUGCUUUUAGGUCGAAAACUCCGGUGCCUUAGGAUUGGUCUGCGGCGUAUCAGGUUGUAGUAGGUGUAACGGACCCACUAGCCGAUUACGCGUAUGGGCCUUGAGAGAGGAAGCCCAGAGAUGGACUCUGAGGCAUGAGUCCAGGCCCUACGGGGCGCAGCAGUCGCGAAAACUUCACAAUGGGGGCAACCCCGAUGAGGGAAUUCCAAGUGCUAGCACUUUGUGUUAGCUGUUCUUUUGUCUAAAAAACAAGAGAAGUAAGGGCCGGGUAAGACGGGUGCCAGCCGCCGCGGUAAUACCCGCGGCCCGAGUGGUGGUCGAUAUUAUUGAGCCUAAAACGUUCGUAGCCGGUCUUGUAAAUCCUUGGGUAAAUCGGCCAGCUUAACUGUCCGAAGUCCGGGGAGACUGCAAGACUUGGGAUCGGGAGAGGUCAGAGGUACUUCUGGGGUAGGGGUAAAAUCCUGUAAUCCUAGAAGGACCACCGGUGGCGGAGGCGUCUGACUAGAACGAAUUCGACGGUGAGGAACGAAGCCCUGGGGCGCAAACGGGAUUAGAUACCCCGGUAGUCCAGGGUGUAAACGCUGCGGGCUUGGUGUUGGGGGUCCUUAGUGGGCGCCCAGUGCCGGAGAGAAGUUGUUAAGCCUGCUGCUUGGGGAGUACGUCCGCAAGGAUGAAACUUAA
RNAcentral lists this ribosomal RNA (826 nucleotides) under uncultured archaeon. Its description in RNAcentral is "bacterial SSU rRNA". It matches the Rfam family "Archaeal small subunit ribosomal RNA", at positions 22 to 859 of the family's 1478-position model. The record is from RNAcentral.